UACGAAGGGUGCAAGCGUUACUCGGAAUUACUGGGCGUAAAGCGUGCGUAGGUGGUUCGUUAAGUCUGAUGUGAAAGCCCUGGGCUCAACCUGGGAAUGGCAUUGGAUACUGGCGACCUAGAGUGCGGUAGAGGGGUGUGGAAUUCCCGGUGUAGCAGUGAAAUGCGUAGAUAUCAGGAAGAACACCCGUGGCGAAAGCGGCUCUCUGGAACGGUACUGACGCUGAGACGCGAAAGCGUGGGGAGCGAACAGG
Molecule: ribosomal RNA, 253 nt
Filed under: uncultured bacterium
Lineage: Bacteria
Description: partial 16S ribosomal RNA
Rfam family: Bacterial small subunit ribosomal RNA
Source: RNAcentral